RNAcentral lists this ribosomal RNA (731 nucleotides) under uncultured bacterium. RNAcentral describes it as "bacterial SSU rRNA". It matches the Rfam family "Bacterial small subunit ribosomal RNA", at positions 771 to 1501 of the family's 1533-position model. The record is from RNAcentral.
AACAGGAUUAGAUACCCUGGUAGUCCACGCCGUAAACGAUGUCGACUUGGAGGUUGUGCCCUUGAGGCGUGGCUUCCGGAGCUAACGCGUUAAGUCGACCGCCUGGGGAGUACGGCCGCAAGGUUAAAACUCAAAUGAAUUGACGGGGGCCCGCACAAGCGGUGGAGCAUGUGGUUUAAUUCGAUGCAACGCGAAGAACCUUACCUACUCUUGACAUCCAGAGAACUUAGCAGAGAUGCUUUGGUGCCUUCGGGAACUCUGAGACAGGUGCUGCAUGGCUGUCGUCAGCUCGUGUUGUGAAAUGUUGGGUUAAGUCCCGCAACGAGCGCAACCCUUAUCCUUUGUUGCCAGCGGUUAGGCCGGGAACUCAAAGGAGACUGCCAGUGAUAAACUGGAGGAAGGUGGGGAUGACGUCAAGUCAUCAUGGCCCUUACGAGUAGGGCUACACACGUGCUACAAUGGCGCAUACAAAGAGAAGCGACCUCGCGAGAGCAAGCGGACCUCAUAAAGUGCGUCGUAGUCCGGAUUGGAGUCUGCAACUCGACUCCAUGAAGUCGGAAUCGCUAGUAAUCGUAGAUCAGAAUGCUACGGUGAAUACGUUCCCGGGCCUUGUACACACCGCCCGUCACACCAUGGGAGUGGGUUGCAAAAGAAGUAGGUAGCUUAACCUUCGGGAGGGCGCUUACCACUUUGUGAUUCAUGACUGGGGGUGAAGUCGUAACAAGGUAACC